Molecule: long non-coding RNA, 389 nt
Organism: Centruroides sculpturatus (bark scorpion)
Lineage: Eukaryota; Metazoa; Arthropoda; Arachnida; Scorpiones; Buthidae
Exons: 2
Source: RefSeq, a predicted model, not a curated record
AUUGGCAACACUUGAUGGUAAAAAUAUCGACUGUAUUUGGUGUCACGAUAGAAGUCAUGGUUUGUUUUCGUGUUAAAUCAAUUUUAAGACGGUGUACGAUGAUAAUGAGCAUUUAGAAUACAAUAAACAUCGCUGAUUUAACCUUCUUCCAUAAAUAUUAAACCGGAAAAGUAAUCAUGGAUUCAGGAAAUAUGGAUGUAGAAUCCAAAUCAUUUCUUUAUAAAACAGGAAUAUCAAGCUGGAUGAAAACAAAUUUUGAGCGACUGAAUACGUCGGACAAUUUUGAAGCAUAUGGCUCGUCACCUCCAGAAACUGAAAGUUAUUUUAUUACUAGAUUUAAUAAGAACAAAUUAAGUAAUAUUGCCAGAGAAACUUCGAAGAUUUCAACA